AGAGUGGCGAACGGGUGAGUAAUGCGUGACCGACCUGCCCCAUACACCGGAAUAGCUCCUGGAAACGGGUGGUAAUGCCGGAUGCUCCAGUUGAUCGCAUGGUCUUCUGGGAAAGCUUUCGCGGUAUGGGAUGGGGUCGCGUCCUAUCAGCUUGACGGCGGGGUAACGGCCCACCGUGGCUUCGACGGGUAGCCGGCCUGAGAGGGCGACCGGCCACAUUGGGACUGAGACACGGCCCAGACUCCUACGGGAGGCAGCAUG
This 261-nucleotide ribosomal RNA is filed under the name uncultured bacterium. RNAcentral describes it as "partial 16S ribosomal RNA". It matches the Rfam family "Bacterial small subunit ribosomal RNA", at positions 92 to 353 of the family's 1533-position model. The record is from RNAcentral.